AGAGUUUGAUCCUGGCUCAGAACGAACGCUGGCGGCGUGCCUAACACAUGCAAGUCGAACGAGAAAGGGGCUUCGGCCCUGAGUAAAGUGGCGCACGGGUGAGUAACACGUAGGUAACCUGCCUCUAAGAUUGGGAUAACAUGUCGAAAGACGUGCUAAUACCGAAUGAGACCACAGUUUCCUCGGAAACAGGGGUCAAAGGUAGCCUCUAUUUAUAAGCUAUCACUUAGAGAUGGGCCUGCGUACCAUUAGCUAGUUGGUAGGGUAACGGCCUACCAAGGCAAAGAUGGUUAGCUGGUCUGAGAGGAUGAUCAGCCACACUGGAACUGAGACACGGUCCAGACUCCUACGGGAGGCAGCAGUGGGGAAUAUUGCGCAAUGGGCGAAAGCCUGACGCAGCAACGCCGCGUGAGUGAUGAAGGCCUUCGGGUCGUAAAGCUCUGUCGGAGGGAACGAAUGUUUCUGAGGUUAACAGCCUCAGGAAGUGACGGUACCCUUAAAGGAAGCACCGGCUAACUCUGUGCCAGCAGCCGCGGUA
RNAcentral lists this ribosomal RNA (538 nucleotides) under uncultured Pseudomonadota bacterium. RNAcentral's name for it is "bacterial SSU rRNA". It matches the Rfam family "Bacterial small subunit ribosomal RNA", at positions 8 to 522 of the family's 1533-position model. The record is from RNAcentral. Lineage: Bacteria; Pseudomonadati; Pseudomonadota.